CAGCCGCCGCGGGAAUACGGAGGGUGCAAGCGUUAAUCGGAAUUACUGGGCGUAAAGCGCACGCAGGCGGUCUGACAAGUCAGAUGUGAAAUCCCCGGGCUUAACCUGGGAACUGCAUUUGAAACUGUCAGGCUGGAGUCUUGUAGAGGGGGGUAGAAUUCCAGGUGUAGCGGUGAAAUGCGUAGAGAUCUGGAGGAAUACCGGUGGCGAAGGCGGCCCCCUGGACAAAGACUGACGCUCAGGUGCGAAAGCGUGGGGAGCAAACAGGAUUAGAUACCCGGUAGUCCCUGUCUCUUAUACA
Molecule: ribosomal RNA, 301 nt
Filed under: uncultured bacterium
Lineage: Bacteria
Description: partial 16S ribosomal RNA
Rfam family: Bacterial small subunit ribosomal RNA
Source: RNAcentral